AAAAUCUGCUCUUCUGAUGUAUUCAUGCACUCUGCCAGGAGCUUCCAGUAGAACCAGGCUUUAGAACAAGGGGUCAUGGUUGUUGCUUUUCCAGAAGGUGCCUUUUCCAGAAGUCCUUUAUCUUUUACAGAAGGAAAUGGUGUCACCUGAAAUUGUGCAGAAGAUGGGUGUUGUAUCGGUCUUCCCUGGGUUCCUCCAGAAGAAGAAAGCAUAAGCCUCACCUUUUCAGAAACAAGAGCUGCCCAGACUGCGACAGACUGGUGGAGAACUGCUGUGAGACGUUUGCAAUGCCUUGCUUGUGCAUCUGCAGUGAGGUUCAGCGGAAAAAGAUAAAGGGCAGAAGAGGGACUCCUGAAGCCACUGAAGGAAGGAAAUCAUUACAGGGUUCUACAGAAGUAGGUCAUGUGCUACAGCUGCUCAUAGUUUAAGAGGAAGAAACAUGGGACCUCAAACAUGGAACAUGACUCCUUCAAAAUGCUUGAGAGCAACCCAAGAAAAACAUCCUCAGAGGCUUAUUUAAUAAACAUUAUCUAUAAUAGUCUCA
This 544-nucleotide long non-coding RNA is filed under the name Anser brachyrhynchus (Pink-footed goose). RNAcentral describes it as "lncRNA (ENSABRG00000017447.1)". Lineage: Eukaryota; Metazoa; Chordata; Aves; Anseriformes; Anatidae. The record is from RNAcentral.